Candoia aspera is the source of this 895-nucleotide long non-coding RNA. RefSeq lists it as uncharacterized. The transcript is spliced from 2 exons. Lineage: Eukaryota; Metazoa; Chordata; Lepidosauria; Squamata; Candoiidae. The record is from RefSeq and is a predicted model, not a curated record.
UCAACCUAAGGGGGAAGAAAGCACUACCAUAAGUCAAAUGUAUGUAAAACGUUACAAAACUCUUAAGAAGUGUAAUGUCAUAGAUGAAGCUUUUAAUCCAAAGAGUACUUCUUCACUUCAUUCAUUCUCACAACGCCUCUGCUAUAGGUUCCUAUCAGUUAAUUAUAUUAGCCUGAAGCUAAAAAUAUGCUAUCUAAAAUGUUCACUUUAAGGCUCAGCUGGACAAAAACCAGGUCAAUAGUGAAGCUGACACAAGUCUGAAGCCUCUAUAUAAAAACGAGCAUGGGAGAAGAAGCAAAGAUGGACAGCAGUAGUCAUUUUCAAAUGCAAUUAUUAAAUGCAGGGUAAACUGAAAUGUGAAUACUAUUUCAUUUUUUUAAAUGGAAUGUUUCCCAAAUGAACUUAUAUUCAAUACAUUGUAAUGUUUAAAAUCAGUACCUAAGGAAAAUAGCAAAUUAAACAAUUAAAACAAGAAAAGUGAAGUGAGACAAUGAAAACACAGUAAUAAAGUUAACUGGGAGUUCAUACUGCAACCCAAAUAAGGACUUAAAAUUCUAAGUUGUUGGAAGAAUAAAAAAAUAAAUCAUUGCCUGGUAUUAAAAAGCUAUUAGGGGCCAGGUGUGCUUUUCUAGGAAGGGUAUUCCAAAGCUUGGGUGAGUCCAUCAUAAAGAGAGCUCAUUCCCAAGCAGUCAUCCGCUGCAUCUUGGCACGUAGAGGACAGGAAUGUACAGGAAGAGACAGCCCUUCAAAUUCUUCCAAGCUAUGAAAUAGUCUUAAAACACUGUUUUAACAUUCCCUCACCUUAUCUGAAACAUUGUCAUCACUGUCUUCAGUGGAUUUUCCUGAAGAAUCAAGGAUUAAUGGGACAAGUAAAGUUAAAGUUGUUUCUUCUGAA